Molecule: long non-coding RNA, 2299 nt
Organism: Equus caballus (horse)
Lineage: Eukaryota; Metazoa; Chordata; Mammalia; Perissodactyla; Equidae
Source: Ensembl
GUAAGAGAAUUGCCACAUGCAAAUGAAUUAAGUAGCAACUAGGCGUUGAACAAUGAUCUCAGUAAAAGUUUUGGAAGCCUUUGUACAUCAGACGAAAGAUGAGCUCAUGAAGGGAAGAAUCUGGGUUACACGGGGUCUGCUUACUUGGGAAUUCCUUGGGUACUGCAGACCUGUGCUAUCUCCCACUGACUUUAGCUGUGGUCAUGGAAAAUAACCAAAUGUUUGUGGGUCCAUAUUGCCUCAGUGUCCUGCUUAAAGCAUGGGGAGAAAAAAACAGAUCAAGCAGCCUGGAGGAAGGGAGAAGGUCAACAAAUUAAAUCACCCCUAGGACUUCGAAAGCUGGGUCAACAAAGCCCUGAAACUCCAAGUUUCUGAACUUGUAUGUUUGCCAUCCACAAUAUAAAGAGAUGUUUUGGGUUUUUUUGAGGAAGAUUAGCCCUGAGCUAACACCUGCUGCCAAUCCUCCUCCUUUUGCUGAGGAAGACUGGCCCUGAGCUAACAUCUGUGCCCACCUUCCUCUACUUUAUAUGUGGGACACCUACCACAGCAUGGCUUGACAAGCGGUGCCAUGUCCGCACCCAGGAUCUGAACCAGCUAACCCUGGGCCACCGAAGUGGAACGUGCGCAUUUAACCGCUGAGUCACUGGGCCAGCCCCUAAAGAGAUUUUUCUCUUUUAAUUUCCAACAUCUGUGGCUUUCUAUUAGUUCAAGCUUCUGCAGGGAGCAUGCGUUCAUUAAAUGGUAAAUAUGAACCUAAAUACAGAAACACAAAUGCUUAAACCAUUAGGAGGCACCUUCUUAACAGUGAUGAAUGAGGCAGAAAAAAGGGAGGAGGUUCCACUUUGGGGCUGCAUGAUACACUUUUGCUUUGAACAAUCUCAGGCAUCUCCAGCAAUGACUUGGGAGGAAAAGUCUGACUUCAUCAUCACACGUUCAUUGAGUUAAAGUUUCCAGCCACUAUGCUACCUGCUUAGGCUCAAGAAGAUAAAAGAGAAAUGUUUCUGGGAGAUGGGGAAGGCGGGUGGGGGAGAUCAACAUGGAGACAACUGAUUAUAACACAAUGUCAUGACAAGUGGGCCCUGAGGCCAGCUCUGGGUCAUAUGCUGUCUUCUGCUGAUAUUUCUACUGCUUUCACCUGGAUAUGCAGCAGAUAGAGAGUUGCAAGGGCAGUUGCCAUGCCUAAGGCUAAUUUUACUGCUAGAAAAAGAUCCAUCAGAAGAGAUCUCUGAGAAGAUGCAUAAAGAAAUUUUCCAGUUGGCCAUUAUCUGCCUGUGGGUCCAGAGUUUGACCAUCCUUUCCAAAGUGAGAUUGGUGGAUUUGAAAAGGUAGAGGGAUGUGAUCUUGAAGAGCAUAACCCAGAGUGGGAUGUUACAUGUAGAACCAGAUCUCAUCAAAACAGUGAAAUAGAUAUUUUGCUGCCAGCAUCCUACCUCUGCUCCUGCGUUUCUUUCCUUCUUCCUGCUUGCUCCCUCCUCCAACCCCUGGUUUAGUAUCUGUCCAACCAAAUCCUUUAAGCCCAUAGGUGUCAACCAAUAGAUUUUUCACCCUUUUUCAAGGAGGUUGAAUUUGUGCAUUCUUUAAAGAUCAAACCAUCUUCCAGACCCACAACAGUGGUGUCCCCUGAAACCCCUCAAAUCCAUGUCAACAGACACCUACUCCAUCUAUCCCAGAUUUGUGUACACGACAUUCUGAAGGCAUAAGGAAGAAGACCUCUAUAACUAGAUAAAGGGGCUAAAAGAGAUGACCGACCUCAAAAUUUCAACACUGAGUUCUUGAGAAAUAGACUCUAAUAGGCCACUAAUAGACUGGGGGCAAGAGAGAUAAUGAAUUUUUACUAAAUGUAGGGUUAUUUUAACAAAAUUCUUUAACAAUAUUAUAAUUUAUUUUAGGUCUAAUCUCAUAUUUCUAUCGCAUACUUUUUAGUCUUUUCUUGUUAGGAUAUUUAUAAAUUCCCAGAAAAUUAUCAUACCUCCUCUUUUUCCCUUGAAUUUCAUGCCAUUCAAAUGCCCACCAAUUACCCCCAGUUGGUUCAAAUGCCUUGAAUUACAAGAGAACAGAACUGGCAAGAAACAAACACCCCAAUAUUUGAAAGCAGAGGGUGAAUGGUUUUUUUUAACAAUGGUAAUUAGAAUUUGGUUUUCCUCAUGGAUCGUGUAGUUUAACCAAUUACAUUGAACUAUUAAUUUGAGAGGGGGAGAAGGAGGAAGAAACACUACUCUCUCAUUACUUUCCUAAUAUCUGUCCUCUUCACAAGGGUUUGUUUGGCACACACAGAUGGUCCUGGUGGCAGUGCGAAACU